UGACCCCUCUCAAACCUUCCCUUCCUUUCCCAGUGUAUGCUUUACCUGCAGUGUAAGACUGCAAUAUUUCACUGGGUCAGUUGCUUUCUUGUCGUCAUGUAUUCCUGCAGAAAAGAUGAGGCCUCUAAGGAAGGAGCCAGGAGUCGGAAGUUCAUUGCAGAAGCCGAAUGUGGAAAUGUAUGAGCUUGACAACUCAAAGCAACAUCAACAUGGUGAGAAAGAUUACUUUAACCAAGUUAAAGAAGACCUGCAGGGAGAAGCAGACAACCCAGGAGACUAGAAAGGGGAUACAGAGAUUUUCCUGGCCUAGAAGAGUGGUGCAGGUGAGUUCAGCUCACUGCAACUAAUACCCAGCAAUUAGCUGCUUCAAAUACAUUGGUGGUAUGUUUUGUGCAGGCUGAGUAAAAAUCUAACACACA
Neopsephotus bourkii (Bourke's parrot) is the source of this 419-nucleotide long non-coding RNA. RefSeq lists it as uncharacterized. Lineage: Eukaryota; Metazoa; Chordata; Aves; Psittaciformes; Psittacidae. The transcript has 2 exons. The record is from RefSeq and is a predicted model, not a curated record.